RNAcentral lists this ribosomal RNA (433 nucleotides) under uncultured bacterium. Its description in RNAcentral is "partial 16S ribosomal RNA". It matches the Rfam family "Bacterial small subunit ribosomal RNA", at positions 29 to 507 of the family's 1533-position model. The record is from RNAcentral.
AACGAACGCUGGCGGCAGGCCUAACACAUGCAAGUCGAGCGCGCCCUUCGGGGUGAGCGGCGGACGGGUGAGUAACGCGUGGGAACGUGCCCUUUUCUACGGAAUAGCCUCGGGAAACUGAGAGUAAUACCGUAUACGCCCUUUGGGGGAAAGAUUUAUCGGAAAAGGAUCGGCCCGCGUUGGAUUAGGUAGUUGGUGGGGUAAUGGCCUACCAAGCCGACGAUCCAUAGCUGGUUUGAGAGGAUGAUCAGCCACACUGGGACUGAGACACGGCCCAGACUCCUACGGGAGGCAGCAGUGGGGAAUCUUAGACAAUGGGGGCAACCCUGAUCGAGCCAGGCCGCGUGAGUGAUGAAGGCCUUAGGGUUGUAAAGCUUUUUCAGCUGGGAAGAUAAUGACGGUACCAGCAGAAGAAGCCCCGGCUAACUCCGUG